UGAAAAGAGAGUUAAACAGUAUGUGAAAUUGUUAAAAGGGAACCGUUUGGAGCCAGACUGGCUUGAUCGUAAUCACUCUAGGCUUUGGCCUGGAUGCACUUGCGGUCUAUGCCGGCCAACGACAGUUUUGUUUGAGGGAAAAAAUUACAUUGAAUGUGGCCCUUCGGGGUGUUAUAGCUUUGUAAAAAAUACCUUGGACGGGACUGAGGAACGCAGCGAAUGCCUUUAGGCGAGAUUGCUGGGUGCUUGCGCUGAUACAUGCUAGAAUUUCUGCUUUGGGUGGUGCUAGUGUGUAAAGGAGUAACCCGCUUAGUAUAUUUUUUAUUCGCUUAGGUUGUUGGCUUAAUGACUCUAAAUGACCCGUCUUGAAACACGACCCAAGACGUCC
RNAcentral lists this ribosomal RNA (388 nucleotides) under Mucor sp. BAB-2294. RNAcentral's name for it is "eukaryotic LSU rRNA". It matches the Rfam family "Eukaryotic large subunit ribosomal RNA", at positions 377 to 676 of the family's 3401-position model. Lineage: Eukaryota; Fungi; Mucoromycota; Mucoromycetes; Mucorales; Mucoraceae. The record is from RNAcentral.